UCGUUACUAUGGUAAUUUCCAUUGCACCUUAAUUUAUGUUUCUCUCACCUUUCAAUUUCUUUCACAAGCUCAUAAGUGUAUUACUAUAUUAUUCAAGUAUUUUUACCUUCGUUCGCCCAUGGAAGAUAUUGAGAACACCAAUGUCAUUGCAUAAUAACAAUUAGUUCCUCUCAUAAGUAAACACAAUAUAUUAUUACGUACGUAGAUUAAUUAUUUCUUCUACUUCUACACCUAGCAAAAGAUUUUUGACUGAUAUAAACUUCAUAGAUGUUAGUAUAGUAUUUAAAGCAUAUAUGAAAAUGUUCUUAAGGCUUAAUUCAACUGAUAAUAUCGCAAUAGUUAUGCGGGAAAUUUUUCGUUGUUACUUGAGUUUGUGUGACCCUCGUUAUCCUGCAUUAUUAGAUAAACAUGAAUAGUAAGAAACAAAAUAUGAAUCUUUUAUUUACUGCAACUUUAGCAUAAACUUGUAACGAGUAUCAGUUCAAAUUUUCUUAAACUUCUAAUUAUAAAAUACUCUAAAACCUUGUGUUACUUGAUCAGAGUCUAAAAAUUUGGAUGGUGAAUAGUGUUUUCAAAGGGUUUUCCUGUUUACUGCGUAUAAUUUUGCACGUACAUUUCCUGCAAACAUAUACGCAGAUAAUGUUAGGAAAUAUAAGGGCUGAAGAAGAAAAAUAAGCGCAAUCACUACACAAGAAUGUAAUGUGAAAACUUCAAAAUCAGAGAAAAAACAACGAUCGUUGUCUAAACCGACAACCAGAGAGUUAUUACUAUGUGAAUUUUUUUGCAAUGCAUAGACUUCUCUCACUCUCACCCUAAUGCCCCAGUAUAACCACACCCUCACAAAACAAAUAUUUAAACUAAGUUAGAUAUAAGUUUAAAAUGCUACUGACUGUUGCAGUUAAAUAUUUAAAGAACCUAGGUUCAAUAUAUAGCAUUGAUCUUCCCCUCGCUUCACCAAACUAACCGAUGUGGGAUUUCUCCAAUAACUAAUAUUUUUUCACCUCCUUCUUUAUUCAAGAAACUUGACAAUCAAACCCAACAAGUAAUUCCACAACAAAUGCUGCAGGAAAGCCGGUAUGAAAAAAGUUUUCGCAGAUAAAACUUCAAGUAAUUAUAUCUUUCCAAAUGAAAUGUAUAUUUUUGGAACAUAUUAUUUUUUCUUUCAACAAAUGCAAAAACGCAAAUUAAAAAUGAUCAUUUUUACUUAUUUGUUUGACAAAAAAGUUCUUUUUUUCUAAAGUACAUUGUGAUAUUUAUGUUAAAGUAUAUUAUAAUAUUUAGAAAUUAUAAUCAAUAUUAAUAAUAAAAAAUGCAUCUUUGUUGGUGUUAAAUAUUGUAUCUCUUGUUCCUCUAAGAAGCAGCCAAUUUUUGCUACAUCGAGUAGAUCAAAGUAUUUGAUGUGGUACUUAAGCCAUGAGGUUCUCAUAUCUAUUGGACUAGUCUUUUGGGUUGGGCUCUCCUCAUGGGCUUAAGUCCUAACACAUUCCUACAUCGUCCCAACUUGCUUAGAGUGUUACUUUUCCCAUCCUACUGUCUUCUCACGCACCCUGCAAAAUUCCAAAAAUACCCCUGUUAGUGCUUUCCGGAUUUUAAAAUCCGGACAAAAUCGAUAUGACAAGGGUCUGCUCUUUUCUUCAAUAUGACGCCUUUUCUCUUCCAAUUUCUCCCCCAUCUUCUUCCUCAAAACAAAUACCUCUGUUUGUCAUUCUCUAACAAAGGCUUUGUAAGAUCUUCCAAACUGUUGCUACUCUUUAGUGUUGCUAUACCAGAGGAACUUACUGGUGGUACUAAAGAAUCUGAUGGUGUACUAGUUGGUGCUUGAGUAGAUUCAACACUCUUAGGUUUUUGUUGUUUGUUAGCUGGACCAUAACUUGAGGUGCUUGCACUAGCUUCCGACCUAGCUUUUGCUCCACUAGAAGAUUGAUUAUUGGUAUUAAUCGAAGUGGAAGUCUCAUUCCUAUUUUUUGGAUUCAUCCAUAUGAAGGAAUUUGUCGAUUUCAAUUUUCAAUGGAUGGAUUUGGAUUACAUAAUUUGAAUGUUUUUACACAUUCCGGAUUAUAUAAUCCGAAAUAUGUAAAUCACCCCGUUGAAAGUCAACAAAUAGGAUGAAAAAUGAUGUUUCUGGAUUACAUAAUCCGAAAUGCGUUAAAACAAUUCAGAUUUUAUAAUCCGGAAUGUGAUUAUAUGGAGGAUUUCUCUAGUAUGACCAAUAUAUUUUUUUUCCAGAAACAAGCUUUGAAUUGCAUAAAAAAUGGCUGGGAAUAUUUUGUUUGGAAGAAUAAAUCCUUGGAACCUGGUGUUGGAGUACUUAUUUCUCUACAUGACAAUGCUCAAAGUAUGAAGUUGACAUAUCCAAAACUCUUGUGAUGAAUGAGAAAAGUAAAGUUUCAAUACUCACUUCAAAGCAUUAGAAUCAUG
Molecule: long non-coding RNA, 2418 nt
Filed under: Medicago truncatula (barrel medic)
Lineage: Eukaryota; Viridiplantae; Streptophyta; Magnoliopsida; Fabales; Fabaceae
Description: long non-coding RNA (MTRU_LNC008691)
Source: RNAcentral